CGGAGGAUCCGAGCGUUAUCCGGAUUAUUGGGUUUAAAGGGAGCGUAGGUGGACUGGUAAGUCAGUUGUGAAAGUUUGCGGCUCAACCGUAAAUUGCAGUUGAUACUGUCAGUCUUGAGUACAGUAGAGGUGGGCGGAAUUCGUGGUGUAGCGGUGAAAUGCUUAGAUAUCACGAAGAACUCCGAUUGCGAAGGCAGCUCACUGGACUGCAACUGACACUGAUGCUCGAAAGUGUGGGUAUCAAACAGGAUU
Molecule: ribosomal RNA, 252 nt
Filed under: uncultured bacterium
Lineage: Bacteria
Description: partial 16S ribosomal RNA
Rfam family: Bacterial small subunit ribosomal RNA
Source: RNAcentral